This is a regulatory RNA element of Lachnospiraceae bacterium 5_1_57FAA, 38 nucleotides long. It matches the Rfam family "Selenocysteine insertion sequence 4". Lineage: Bacteria; Bacillati; Bacillota; Clostridia; Lachnospirales; Lachnospiraceae. The record is from Rfam.
GGCACUUGUACUCGUUGCUGUGCAACGAUGGCUAAAGA